RNAcentral lists this transfer RNA (72 nucleotides) under Heterocephalus glaber (naked mole-rat). It matches the Rfam family "tRNA". From Rfam's summary of the family: Transfer RNA (tRNA) molecules are approximately 80 nucleotides in length. Their secondary structure includes four short double-helical elements and three loops (D, anti-codon, and T loops). The record is from Rfam by way of RNAcentral. Lineage: Eukaryota; Metazoa; Chordata; Mammalia; Rodentia; Bathyergidae.
GGAGGUGUAGCUCAGUGGUAGAGUACUUCCCUAGCAUGUAUGGGACCCUGGAUUCAAUCCCCUGUACUACCA